CCCUGUACCCCUCCAUCCCUGUACCCCUCCAUCCUUCCAUCCCUGCACCCCCAUCCCUCUAUCCCUGCACCCCUCCAUUCCUGUACCUUUCCAUCACUCCAUCCCUGUAUCCCUCUGUCCCUGCAUCCCUCUGUCCCUGCACCCCUCCAUCCCCGCACCCCUCCUUCGCUGUACCCCUCCAUCCUCCAUCUCUGCAUCCCUGCACCCCUCCAUCCUCCAUCCCUGUACCCUUACAUCCUCCAUCCCUCCAUCCCUGCGUUCCUCCAUCGCAGCAUCCCUCCACCCCAGUAUCCCUGCACCUCUUCAUCCCUCCAUUCCUGCAUCCCUCUAUUUUUCCAUUCCUCCAUUCCUGUAUCCCUGUACCCUCCAUCCUCCAUCGCAGCAUCCCUCCAUCCCUGCUCCCCACUCUCACUUCCCUUCCCUUCAUAGACAGGCUUUUCCUGCUGUCCUCAGACCCCGCCCAGGGUUACCUGAUGCCUUUCCAGCUGCACACGGAGACUGACUCACCUCUCUCUUUCUCAGUCCCAAAGUCCCGAAAGAGAGCAUCUGAUGUGGCCAGCUUGUGACAAGGCUGUCCAUGACACGGAGGCCAGGGGAGGGUCUCACUGCCCAGAACCCCACCCUGUGCUCCCAGGCCUUUUGAAUGUUCCUCCUGCUCAGCCCAGUGACUACGGGCUGUAGCUCCUCCUUCAGCCUCCCCUCGCGGUCCUGGUCUUAGGAGGCCCCGGAUGUAGAUCCGGCCCCGCCCACCAGGCAUUGCCCCUUUUCCUGGCUUCACAGACUCGGGAAUAAAGUUUCCUUCCGUUUCCCCUCUUGCAGAAGGAGAUCCGGUUGGCAGCUAAACCGCGCUGGGAACAGGGGCCUGAGUCCUGGACCAGGGCUGUCCCCGGGGCUGCUGCAGAUGGGGAGGAGCCUACACCCUCCUCCCGAGUGCUCACCUUGAUGAAAGGACUUUGCUAACCAGACCUGAUAGGCUGGAGAAUGGCCAGUCAGCCUGAGGCCACCGCGGGACACCACCUAGGCCCAGCUUCUCCCCCCACCAGAGGGCGCCAGAGCCCGCCAAGCCUCGUAGGAGAUUGAAACAAGGCCUGCUGCUGCCACCUAGCGGCCAGUUCUAGGAAUGAAUCUCGGCACCCUCAUUCCCCAGCGACUCUGCACAUCUUGACCCUUUAUGUGAACCAGAACAGUCGCUUCCCCCAUAAGCUGUCAGAAGGCAUCGUGCCUGUCUUGCUAGUGAGGAAACUGAGGCUCAGAGAGGCACAAGACUUGCCCAGGAUCACACCACCGGGACCCAGGAUUCAAGCGCAGGUCUGCCCAACGCUUCCCAGGGCAGCCAGGGACCAGGUGCCACCCUUCUGAGGUGAGGCAAGGAAUGCCCGUCCCUUGGACACGUCUAACUUGGUGAAGGUCCCACGGGUGGGUUGUGGCAUGGUUCCAGCUUGCCGGGUCUGGUGUGGGCAGCAGCUCUCUGCCUUGCCCCAAGUUCCUGGUGGGUAGCCCCAGCAGAGCCCACUGCAGCUUCACUCCCCUGCGUGCCGCCUGCCAGUGGGGGGUCCACUGCAUCCUAGGUCCUGGGCAAGUCCCCUCCCCUCCUGAAACCUUAGUUUCCUCGUCUGUGAAAUGGGGACGUGGCGGUGGUGGCACCUCCUACACCUGCUGAGAGCUACGUGAAGUCGUGCGCGGGCAGUGCCCCUGCGAGGAGGACCCACCGGACCACAUGGCCCAGGUGGCUCUGGAUUUCCUUGCAGGCGCCUGAGAUCCCAGGCCCGAGAGGAUUAAGGCGGGAUUACCUCGAGCGUGUCUGAAUGCUGGAGGAUGAAGGGCAGCUGGGAGAUGAAGCUGUUAGGACGGGCCACAUCCCAUUUCCCGCCUCGUUUCAAUUCAACUUUCCAACAGCCCUCCCUGGCUCGUCUUGCUCUCCUCUAGUGGACAAACAGGCUCAGAGAGGUGGUGUGACUUGCCCAAGAUCACUCAGCUUGGAUGCUGUGGAACAGGGACGCCCACUGUCCCAGUCUGUUUAUGGGAAGCUGCUCUGCAGCUGCCCUGACCCACCACAUGCCCCGCUGCUGUUUCUCUUGCCCUGACCCCUCGUUCCCUGGACCAGGGUGGCACAGCUCCAGGCUCUUGGGCCCUUCUCGGAGGGCAGGCACCUGUGACUGUGUCCCCAAAGACCUGAGUGGCUGAGGGGGCCCACUGUGCUUGGGCUUCCUGGAGGACGAGGAGGGGCCUGCCAGCCACCCACACCACCCCCGCCCCAGGGCUCCCCUGGAGCUUCCAUGCCAGCCGGACUCAAGUGGGUCUGGGGGAGCACCAUGCCUCCAAGCAGACCUUGAGAUGUGCCCCCUGCCCCAACCGUGCCCUCCCCAGCCCAGGACUCUGGUUGCAAACCCUGACUAAGGUGAUUUUAUCUCCACCAGGGGGCCAGUAGGUGGGAAGUGGCUUAAACAAUGCAGGUUUAUAAUCUCACAGUUCUGGGGAUCAGGAGUCUGAAAUGGGUCUCAGGGGGCUAAAAUCAAGGUGUCUGCAGGGCCGUGUUCCUUCUGGAGGCUCCAGGGGAGGAAGGGGAGUAUCCACUUCUGUGCCUUUUCAGCUUCUAGAGGCUACCUGUGUUCCUUGGCUCGUGGCCCCUUCCUCCACCUUCAAGCCAGCAGCGGAGGCCUGAGUCCUUCUCAUGCCGUCUCUCUGUUCUCUCUCCUGCCUCCUCCUCCACACUGAAGGACCCUUGUGAUCACACUGGCCCCCCUGGGUGGCCCAGGAUAAUCCAUCUCCCUGUUCGAAGGUCGGCUGAUUAGCAACCUUCAUUCCAUCUGCCUCCUUCAUUCCCCCCGGCCAUGUAAUGGGAUUCACAGCUUCUGGGGAUUAGGACAUGGACAUCUUGUGGCGCGGGCAUAAUUCUGUCGAUGACACCAAGAAACACUUGGAUGCUAAGGAUUCACUGAACACUGUUCAGGCUCCAGGUGCUGGGAGCAGCAGUGAACAAAGCCAACAGACACCGCCACCCUCAAGGAGUUCACGUUCAUGGGCGAGGGAACAGAUGAGAAACCCAGCAAUGAAAAUAAGUAGCGUAACUGACUUGAAAAGUGCAGGGGGGAAAGAGAAGACGGAUGGAGAAUGACACCUGGCCCCUUCUCUAUUUCUUUAUUUUUUUCACUCUUGUUGCCCAGGCUGGAGUAUAAUGGCAUGAUCUCGGCUCA
RNA transcript from Nomascus leucogenys (northern white-cheeked gibbon), 3194 nucleotides. RefSeq lists it as uncharacterized. The transcript has 3 exons. NCBI's taxonomy places the organism in Eukaryota, Metazoa, Chordata, Mammalia, Primates, Hylobatidae. The record is from RefSeq and is a predicted model, not a curated record.